Molecule: ribosomal RNA, 935 nt
Filed under: uncultured archaeon
Lineage: Archaea
Description: bacterial SSU rRNA
Rfam family: Archaeal small subunit ribosomal RNA
Source: RNAcentral
GCCGGGACCUGACUGCUAUCGGAUUGAUACUAACCCAUGCGAGUCAUUGCUAGCAAUACAAGGCAGACGGCUCAGUAACGCGUAGUCAAUCUACCCUAUGGACGGGAAUAACCUCGGGAAACUGAGAAUAACGCCCGAUAGAACAUUAUGCCUGGAAAUGGUUUAUGUUUCAACAUGAUUUAUCGCCAUAGGAUGGGACUGCGGCCCUAUCAGUUUGUUGGUGAGGUAAUGGCCCACCAAGACUAUUACAGGUACGGGCUCUGAGAGGAGUGGCCCGGAAAUGGGUACUGAGACACGGACCCCAGGCCCUAUGGGGCGCAGCAGGCGAGAAAACUUUGCAAAUGUGCGAAAAGCACGACAAGGUUAAUCCCGAGUGAUUUCUGCUAAAAGAAAUCUUUUGCUAGUCCUAGAAACACUAGUGAAUAAGGGGUGGGCAAGUUCUGGUGUCAGCCGCCGCCGGUAAAACCAGCGCCUCAAGUGGUCAGGAUGAUUAUUGGGCCUAAAGCAUCCGUAACUUCGUUUUUGUAAAGUUUUCGGUUAAAUCCAUACGCUUAACGUAUGGGCUGCCGGGAAUACUGCAUAACUUAGGAAGUGGGGAGAGGUAGACGUGUACUUCGGUAGGAAUGGGGUAAAAUCCUUUGACUCUAUUGAUGACCACCUGGUGGCGAAGGCGGUCUACCAGAACUACGUUCGACGGUGAGGGAUGAAAGCUGGGGGAGCAAACCGGAUUAGAUACCCGGGUAGUCCCAGCUGUAAACUAUGCAAACUCAGUGAUGCAUUGGCUUGUGGCCAACUGCAGUGUACUGCAGGGAAGCCGCUUAAGCCUCUCUGCCGCUUCUGGGAAGCUAUCGUAUCGUCAAGCUAUGAAACUUAAAGGAAUUGCGGGGGAGCGCCACAAGGGGUGAAGCCUGCGGUUCAAUUGGAUUCAACGCCGG